GACCCCGUAGCUCAACCGGAUAGAGCGCGCGCCUCCUAAGCGCGAGGUUGCAGGUUCAAGUCCUGCCGGGGUCGCCA
Molecule: transfer RNA, 77 nt
Filed under: Roseospira navarrensis
Lineage: Bacteria; Pseudomonadati; Pseudomonadota; Alphaproteobacteria; Rhodospirillales; Rhodospirillaceae
Description: tRNA-Arg
Rfam family: tRNA
About the family: Transfer RNA (tRNA) molecules are approximately 80 nucleotides in length. Their secondary structure includes four short double-helical elements and three loops (D, anti-codon, and T loops).
Source: RNAcentral